RNAcentral lists this long non-coding RNA (336 nucleotides) under Felis catus (domestic cat). RNAcentral's name for it is "lncRNA (ENSFCAG00000052230.1)". The record is from RNAcentral. Lineage: Eukaryota; Metazoa; Chordata; Mammalia; Carnivora; Felidae.
AUGCUUAAGACUGAAUACAUCAGAGUAGCCUCACCAAUACCAAGAAUAAUGGGAGGACUAUCUUGCCAUCCUUAUGUCAUUUACUUUCCCACUGUCAUGUCCAUGUUCAGUGUUUUUCAGGAAGAAGACGCCCAUCUUCUCAUUGAGCAAGUGCAAAGAGUCAAACACAUCUCACUGAGCCACACUGCACCUGGAGAUGUAUCCAGGGGGAGAUAUGCAAAAAUGCACAGCAGCCCCAGGUUUCCUCCUAGCAUUUCCUGUCAGCUGUCUGGCUAUCUACCAGGGAAAAAGAAAAACCUCCUAAUACGGUUCCUGUGGGAAUUUGAAUUAAUUUAG